GUGGACGUAGCUCAGUAGGUAGAGCGCUUGGUUGUGGCCCAAGUGGUCGUGGGUUCAAGUCCCAUCGUUCACCCGA
RNAcentral lists this transfer RNA (76 nucleotides) under Fidelibacterota bacterium. RNAcentral describes it as "tRNA-His". It matches the Rfam family "tRNA". Rfam says of the family: Transfer RNA (tRNA) molecules are approximately 80 nucleotides in length. Their secondary structure includes four short double-helical elements and three loops (D, anti-codon, and T loops). Further hydrogen bonds mediate the characteristic L-shaped molecular structure. tRNAs have two regions of fundamental functional importance: the anti-codon, which is responsible for specific mRNA codon recognition, and the 3' end, to which the tRNAs corresponding amino acid is attached (by aminoacyl-tRNA synthetases). tRNAs cope with the degeneracy of the genetic code in two manners: having more than one tRNA (with a specific anti-codon) for a particular amino acid; and 'wobble' base-pairing, i.e. permitting non-standard base-pairing at the 3rd anti-codon position. Lineage: Bacteria; Pseudomonadati; Fidelibacterota. The record is from RNAcentral.